UGGCGACCGGCGCACGGGUGCGUAACGCGUAUGCAACCUACCUUUAACAGGGGAGUAACACUGAGAAAUUGGUACUAAUACCCCAUAAUAUUCGGAGAGGCAUCUCUCCGGGUUGAAAACUCCGGUGGUUAUAGAUGGACAUGCGUUGUAUUAGCUAGUUGGUGAGGUAACGGCUCACCAAGGCAACGAUACAUGGGGGGACUGAGAGGUUAACCCCCCACACUGGUACUGAGACACGGACCAG
This 244-nucleotide ribosomal RNA is filed under the name uncultured bacterium. Its description in RNAcentral is "partial 16S ribosomal RNA". It matches the Rfam family "Bacterial small subunit ribosomal RNA", at positions 89 to 334 of the family's 1533-position model. The record is from RNAcentral.